UACGAGUGGUGCAAGCGUUAUUCGGAAUCAUUGGGCGUAAAGGGUGUGUAGACGGCAUGUUAAGUCAAUUGUUAAAUUCUUCGGCCUAACCGGAGGCAAACAAUAGAUACUGGUGUGCUAGAGGGUGGAAGAGAGAAGUGGAAUUCUCGGAGUAGCGGUAAAAUGCGUAGAUCUCGAGAGGAACACCAAUGGCGAAGGCAGCUUCUUGGUCCAUUUCUGACGUUGAAACACGAAAGCGUGGGGAGCAAACAGG
Molecule: ribosomal RNA, 253 nt
Filed under: uncultured bacterium
Lineage: Bacteria
Description: partial 16S ribosomal RNA
Rfam family: Bacterial small subunit ribosomal RNA
Source: RNAcentral